RNAcentral lists this transfer RNA (73 nucleotides) under Camelus bactrianus (Bactrian camel). It matches the Rfam family "tRNA". From Rfam's summary of the family: Transfer RNA (tRNA) molecules are approximately 80 nucleotides in length. Their secondary structure includes four short double-helical elements and three loops (D, anti-codon, and T loops). Further hydrogen bonds mediate the characteristic L-shaped molecular structure. tRNAs have two regions of fundamental functional importance: the anti-codon, which is responsible for specific mRNA codon recognition, and the 3' end, to which the tRNAs corresponding amino acid is attached (by aminoacyl-tRNA synthetases). tRNAs cope with the degeneracy of the genetic code in two manners: having more than one tRNA (with a specific anti-codon) for a particular amino acid; and 'wobble' base-pairing, i.e. permitting non-standard base-pairing at the 3rd anti-codon position. The record is from Rfam by way of RNAcentral. Lineage: Eukaryota; Metazoa; Chordata; Mammalia; Artiodactyla; Camelidae. RNAcentral also lists the same sequence under 2 other names.
GAGGGUGUAGCUCAGUGGUAGAGUUGCACACCUAGCAUGCACGAGGUCCUGGUUUCAAUCCCCAGCACCUCCA